UUAAGGGUUAAGCAGGCAGAUUCAUUUUCUGCCACCGAAUACAUUAGCAUGGGAUAAUGGAAUAGGACCCUGUCCUCCUUUUUUCAGUUGGUUAAUUCAUGAGAGAGGAACAGGGUAAUGAUUAAUAGGGAUAGUUGGGGGCAUUAAUAUUUAAUUGUCAGAGGUGAAAUUCUUGGAUUUAUGAAAGAUUAACUUCUGCGAAAGCAUCUGCCAAGGAUGUUUUCAUUAAUCAAGAACGAAAGUUAGGGGAUCGAAGACGAUCAGAUACCGUCGUAGUCUUAACCAUAAACGAUGCCGACCAGCGAUUAGGAGACGUUGAAUACAAAACACCUCUAUAUAUAAUUCAGUAUAUGGCUAGCAAUGGCUGUAUAUUGUUUGUGUAUAGUUACGGUGAAUGACUCCCCUAGCAGCUUG
This 414-nucleotide ribosomal RNA is filed under the name Acanthamoeba palestinensis. Its description in RNAcentral is "SSU rRNA". It matches the Rfam family "Eukaryotic small subunit ribosomal RNA", at positions 767 to 1090 of the family's 1831-position model. The record is from RNAcentral. Lineage: Eukaryota; Discosea; Longamoebia; Acanthamoebidae.